AUUGGCGCAACUGCCUGUCUGUCAGAAACCCGCGCGGAUGGUUGAGUAGGGCGCCUGUCAAUCUCGCACCCUGUGGGUCCCGCCCCUUUCUUUGGUUUCCCUCAGGUUAAGAGAAAACCCGUCUUGUCUUUGCCCAGCAGCGCCAGCAGCUACAGUGCCUCUGCCUUCCUCUCGCUUUGAGGGAGGGUCUCACUCAGAAGCGCCGCUCGUGAGGACUUUGGGGCAGAAGUUGGUCCUCUGUGAAGCAGUGGUGCCCUCCCCGAAAAUAACAACAACAACAAUAAUAAAAGCAAUCAUAACAGUUGCCACAAUAAGAGGUGUCAGUGGUGGUGGUCAUCCACAAUUUGAUUGCUCCCCCACAAGCUCAGGCAACCAUUGUAACGAUUGAGGAGGCGUCCCAUUUCCACAAACACGAUCUCUUGUGGGAAUUGGUGCCUCAGGACAUGGCACACUUGGCUCAUUUCCAUGAGGGGGCAAAAUAAUGGCAAAAUAAUAAUAAGAGGAGCCCAUGCUCUACAACGUCCAAUAACGUCCCAAUAAGAAAUCGUCUCCUCAGAAGAUAGUGACAUCUCAGUGUCUACAUCCAAACAGUGGCUCCCAUUUAAUAACCGUGAGACUGAUAACCGUCGCCCCCGCUUUCAAAUUGAUUUGAAAACGCAGCAGAAAGUUCCAUAGAUUACUCUCCGAAAGAACGGAGCGGGACCGCAACAGACCAUUAUUAAAAGACCUUUUUUCCUUCAUUUUCCCUUUCCCUGAACUAUGUAACAAAUCCCCCCAAUAAAAGUGGCAUUUAUUUUAACAGUAACACUCUCUAUCUGGUUAUUUUGUAUCUCCCUCUGACUCCUUCCUUUUUGCAUGCGGUUUCUCUCCCUCCCGUCCUUUAACUCCGGCUGAGGUUCUCCGCCAUAGAUUAACAUGGCGGACGAUAUAAAUUGGCUCAUAUCUCUAUCAAAAUUACCCCUAGAACGCUCCUCUUUUAGUCUUAACCCUUUCUAAGGCUCCUGACUCGAAGACAACCAGCAGACCCGGAAUCGGUCCAGUUUUCGGCAUCUCAACAGCUGACUGUCAAACAGAACCGCGUUUCUUUCCAAGCCAAGUUGCUGCUUUAUCCCGGGGUUUUCUCUCCCCGCGACUCGCGGAAUGGUUCUCCCUGGCCCCUUUCUGUGAAAUGGGGAUGGGGGGAUCGCUCUCUCGCGGGGGAGACAUAGUUCACCAAGGACCCUCACCCUCUACAGCUGCCAAGGGAUGCCCGGACGGGGGCCCUCCACGUUUCAUUCAUAAUUUCAUAAUUUUAUGAAAGAGAAGAACACUCUUCCCCACACCUACCCCUUGGACUUAUGAAAUCCUAUACCUCCAAAGACUUACUAACCCAUAUGUGCCCCUUCCCCAUGCCAUCUCUAUGAAUUCCUUAUGAACUCUUUCCCCUCAUGUAUUUGUGAAUUUUUAUAUUCUAUGUACAUGACUCACUGCUGUAUGAAUUUCAAACUGUUGGGCUAACUUCAUGGAUUGCGAAAUCAUGCUGCUUGAACCCUACUUCUAUGUUGGAUUCCCCAGAUGUUGUGAACUUCGUUCCUAUCAAAUGUUUUCUAUUGCUCAUUUAUAUUGUUUAUAUCAUUCAUGAUUCCCCUUUAUGCAAUGUCACCCACCUUUAUGGAUUCUCCUUUAUCUACCUAUCUGCCUAUAUGUAUUUACACUCUUUGGGAUCCCCGGAAAAUAUGUGUUUUUCCCUGCUGGGUUUAUGUUCCGACUUUAUUUAUAAUUUUCAUUUUAUCCCAAAUAAUUGUCAGAUCAUGAAAUCAAAUGGGAAAUAUUAUGACCCCAACCUGAACUCUAGCCCCAUGACUCAGACCUCCCCUUCCCAAAAAAACAAAGGGAUAAUCUGCCACAGUUAAUCCCAUCUCACUCCGAUCGCAUGGACAAUAUAGGGCGAGUCACCAAACUAAAGGUGACUCGCCCCCAAGGCAAACAUUGUCACAUCUCAGGCCAGGACGCCGCAGGAAGGCACCCUGUGGGGCCGUCAAUGAUGGCUCAUCAAAUCACCACUUCCCGUCUGACACCCCAAAGACAUAUCUAAAAUCUGUGAACGUGACAGGACCCCGGACAUCCUUGAUGGGUGUCAUUAAUUCCUUUAGAAAUUGGCUGGGCCAGAAUUAAUCCGAUGUUUCCUGUCCGGUCACCGCAUUGUUUCUAUAGCUCCCGCCUCCUCCUCUCUGAUUGGCCCGAGGGGGAACAAAAAACAGCUCCCCAUUGGGCCAGCAGGGCAAGGCGGGAAACGAAAGCCCGCCUCGUUCAACCUCUCAGCCAAUCCGCGAUCAGAUGGGCAGGGAAGCGGGGCGGGAAAUUCAAAGGGCUGUCAGACCGAAACAUUGUAUAAAUAUGACUUUAUUUGAAACAUAUGUUACGCUAGUAGAUUGAAUGAUCGCUAUUAGCGUCCUUUUCAGCUGAAAUUGCUAAAUAAAAACUCCUUGGCGGAUUUUCCUUCAA
This is a long non-coding RNA of Anolis carolinensis (green anole), 2484 nucleotides long. RefSeq lists it as uncharacterized. NCBI's taxonomy places the organism in Eukaryota, Metazoa, Chordata, Lepidosauria, Squamata, Anolidae. The record is from RefSeq and is a predicted model, not a curated record. The transcript has 2 exons.